This is a long non-coding RNA of Limulus polyphemus (Atlantic horseshoe crab), 2227 nucleotides long. RefSeq lists it as uncharacterized. The transcript has 2 exons. The record is from RefSeq and is a predicted model, not a curated record. Lineage: Eukaryota; Metazoa; Arthropoda; Merostomata; Xiphosura; Limulidae.
AAGGCUAUGAUGUGUCAUGUUGUGAAAGAAAAUUUUACAUCCUUUAUGUAAUUCUCACCAAAAAUUUUAUUUUUUACAUUUUUCUUAAAGUUUAUGGUUUUAUUCACUUAGACUCCAAACAUGUGUUGUAUAAGUAAAUGUAAAAUAAGUUUGCAAUAUAGUGUUAUGUGUUGAUUAUUAAUCCAAAUAAAAUGCUGAUCAAAUUAGAAAGUUAUAUCUGCUGUUACCCGACACAAGGAUGCAGUGUUAUGUGUUGAUUAUUAAUCCAAAUAAAAUGCUGAUCAAAUUAGAAAGUUAUAUCUGCUGUUACCCAACACAAAGAUGCAGUGUUAUGUGUUGAUUAUUAAUCCAAAUGGAAUGCUGAUCAAAUUAGAAAAUAUUAUCUGCUGUUACCCAACACAAAGAUGCAGUGUUAUGUGUUGAUUAUUAAUCCAAAUGGAAUGCUGAUCAAAUUAGAAAGUUAUAUCUGCUGUUACCCAACACAAAGAUGCAGUGUUAUGUGUUGAUUAUUAAUCCAAAUAAAAUGCUGAUCAAAUUAGAAAGUUAAUUCCCUGCUACAAAACCCAAGAAAGUUUUGUAAACGUAGUACAUAGAAAUUUAAAACUUUACAGCUUAACCAAUUCUUUGUUAUUGUAGUACUGUUAAUUUUAACAUUAAAAAUAUCAGUAAGGGUUUUAAUUUUCAGAAUUGUUGAAUUCAUGCAUGGCUUGAAUGGUCCAAGGUUUGAGAUGUCAUGCCUCUGAACAUACAUUUCAGAAUUGUUGAAUUCAUGCAUGGCUUGAAUGAUCCAAGGUUUGAGAUGUCAUGCCUCUGAACAUACAUUUCAAAAUUGUUGAAUGGUCCAAGGUUUGAGAUGUCGUGCCUUGAAUGGUCCAAGGUUUGAGAUGUCGUGCCUUGAAUGGUCCAAGGUUUGAGAUGUCGUGGCUUGAAUGGUCCAAGGUUUGAGAUGUCGUGGCUUGAAUGGUCCAAGGUUUGAGAUGUCAUGCCUUGAAUGGUCCAAGGUUUGAGAUGUCAUGCCUCUGAACAUACAUACUUCAUGCUUUAGAACUGACAGUCAGUGAUUUGGUUUAAAGAGUCAGACAAAAACCCCCAGUGGUUCAGUAGAAAUUCAAUAGGCUUAUAAUGCCACAAUUCAAGGUUUGAUACCCACGGUAGGGAGAGCAUAGAUAACUUUGUGCUUUACAACAAGCAAAUAAAGCCCGACACUUUAUGCUGGUAGGUGCUUCUGGCUGCCUUAUUUGACUAGUAUUUCAAAAUGACCUGUAAAAAAAAAGGGAUCUGAUAUACACAAUUGAUAGAAAUUUGAAAAACAGUUAAUCUAGUUAGGGUUUGGGAGUCGUAGAAAGUUAAUAGUUUGACAGUUUGUUUAUAGCUAUUACUUUCAGGAAACUUUCACUGUGACAAAAUUCAAAUCGUUUGAAUUUCUCUUGUACUAUGAUAGUUUUUCUCUCGCUGAUAUGCGUGAUCUCAAAAUAAACUUUUAAUAAUAUGUCAAAAGUAUGCUCAUAUAACUUCUGGAUUGUAAUUACAGAAAUCUGUUUUACACAUUUCUUUGUAAAUCAUGUUAAGUGUAUUAAUCCAUGCUUUUCGAGCUCUUUAAAGUAUCCUUAGUAAAAAAAUUCACACAGUAUUUAGACAUAAAGAUUUUGUGUAAUUUUGUACUAAAUAUAUUGUUGGAUUUUCUCAAGUUAUUGUAUAGCUUUGACAGGUUGAAAUAAACAAAAGCUUCAAUGAUUUGUACUGAAAGAAUUUUUUGGGGUAAUUCUGUUAAUGUUAUGUUCUCAGUGCGACUUUUUAUAUUUCUCAGUUUCACUGCGAGUUUUAUAACUUCCAAAGAGGUGUUGUUAAAAAAACUCUAACAGACAUUCUGUUGGAGUAAAAACUAACCAAAGUGAUUUAAGUUAUCUUCUUGAGAUUUUCUUAGAAUGGUAUUCACAUGUUUCCAUCAAUCUCAUGUUGGUUGUUGUGGUUCAUUACUUUAAGUCGAUUGUCCAAAAUAUGUUACAGUUUCAGCUAAAGUAUUUUUAAUUUGUAUGAAACUGAAUGAACUGUGUGUGUGCUAUGGUUAAAUUAUUCUAAAUAAAUACUUUAUCUGCUUUACUUUUAAAUUAUGUUGUUUGUGGUGUCUUUUGAUUCACAUGAUCAUUAAUUUAAAUAAUUUUAUUACCUACUGGUUUUAAAACUUAAGUAUGAAUAGAGGUUGUGGAAUAAACUAUUUUAAAGUCAA